UCCGGUUUGUCACCGGCAGUCCCAUUAGAGUGCUCAACUGAAUGUAGCAACUAAUGGCAAGGGUUGCGCUCGUUGCGGGACUUAACCCAACAUCUCACGACACGAGCUGACGACGGCCAUGCAGCACCUGUGUUCCCGUUCCCUUUCGGGCACAGCCCCGUUUCCGGGACCUCCAGGACAUGUCAAGGGUAGGUAAGGUUUUUCGCGUUGCAUCGAAUUAAUCCACAUGCUCCACCGCUUGUGCGGGCCCCCGUCAAUUUCUUUGAGUUUUAAUCUUGCGACCGUACUCCCCAGGCGGGAUGCUUAAUGCGUUAGCUGCGCCACCAACGAGCAAGCUCGCUGACGGCUAGCAUCCAUAGUUUACGGCGUGGACUAC
This 376-nucleotide unclassified non-coding RNA is filed under the name uncultured Pseudomonadota bacterium. Its description in RNAcentral is "uncultured proteobacterium contains 16S-23S intergenic spacer region". The record is from RNAcentral. Lineage: Bacteria; Pseudomonadati; Pseudomonadota.